Molecule: ribosomal RNA, 2931 nt
Filed under: Shigella sonnei
Lineage: Bacteria; Pseudomonadati; Pseudomonadota; Gammaproteobacteria; Enterobacterales; Enterobacteriaceae
Description: bacterial LSU rRNA
Rfam family: Bacterial large subunit ribosomal RNA
Source: RNAcentral
GGGUUGUGAGGUUAAGCGACUAAGUGUACACGGUGGAUGCCCUGGCAGUCAGAGGCGAUGAAGGACGUGCUAAUCUGCGAUAAGCGUCGGUAAGGUGAUAUGAACCGUUAUAACCGGCGAUUUCCGAAUGGGGAAACCCAGUGUGUUUCGACACACUAUCAUUAACUGAAUCCAUAGGUUAAUGAGGCGAACCGGGGGAACUGAAACAUCUAAGUACCCCGAGGAAAAGAAAUCAACCGAGAUUCCCCCAGUAGCGGCGAGCGAACGGGGAGGAGCCCAGAGCCUGAAUCAGUGUGUGUGUUAGUGGAAGCGUCUGGAAAGGCGCGCGAUACAGGGUGACAGCCCCGUACACAAAAAUACACAUAUUGUGAGCUCGAUGAGUAGGGCGGGACACGUGGUAUCCUGUCUGAAUAUGGGGGGACCAUCCUCCAAGGCUAAAUACUCCUGACUGACCGAUAGUGAACCAGUACCGUGAGGGAAAGGCGAAAAGAACCCCGGCGAGGGGAGUGAAAAAGAACCUGAAACCGUGUACGUACAAGCAGUGGGAGCACGCUUAGGCGUGUGACUGCGUACCUUUUGUAUAAUGGGUCAGCGACUUAUAUUCUGUAGCAAGGUUAACCGAAUAGGGGAGCCGAAGGGAAACCGAGUCUUAACUGGGCGUUAAGUUGCAGGGUAUAGACCCGAAACCCGGUGAUCUAGCCAUGGGCAGGUUGAAGGUUGGGUAACACUAACUGGAGGACCGAACCGACUAAUGUUGAAAAAUUAGCGGAUGACUUGUGGCUGGGGGUGAAAGGCCAAUCAAACCGGGAGAUAGCUGGUUCUCCCCGAAAGCUAUUUAGGUAGCGCCUCGUGAAUUCAUCUCCGGGGGUAGAGCACUGUUUCGGCAAGGGGGUCAUCCCGACUUACCAACCCGAUGCAAACUGCGAAUACCGGAGAAUGUUAUCACGGGAGACACACGGCGGGUGCUAACGUCCGUCGUGAAGAGGGAAACAACCCAGACCGCCAGCUAAGGUCCCAAAGUCAUGGUUAAGUGGGAAACGAUGUGGGAAGGCCCAGACAGCCAGGAUGUUGGCUUAGAAGCAGCCAUCAUUUAAAGAAAGCGUAAUAGCUCACUGGUCGAGUCGGCCUGCGCGGAAGAUGUAACGGGGCUAAACCAUGCACCGAAGCUGCGGCAGCGACGCUUAUGCGUUGUUGGGUAGGGGAGCGUUCUGUAAGCCUGUGAAGGUGUGCUGUGAGGCAUGCUGGAGGUAUCAGAAGUGCGAAUGCUGACAUAAGUAACGAUAAAGCGGGUGAAAAGCCCGCUCGCCGGAAGACCAAGGGUUCCUGUCCAACGUUAAUCGGGGCAGGGUGAGUCGACCCCUAAGACGAGGCCGAAAGGCGUAGUCGAUGGGAAACAGGUUAAUAUUCCUGUACUUGGUGUUACUGCGAAGGGGGGACGGAGAAGGCUAUGUUGGCCGGGCGACGGUUGUCCCGGUUUAAGCGUGUAGGCUGGUUUUCCAGGCAAAUCCGGAAAAUCAAGGCUGAGGCGUGAUGACGAGGCACUACGGUGCUGAAGCAACAAAUGCCCUGCUUCCAGGAAAAGCCUCUAAGCAUCAGGUAACAUCAAAUCGUACCCCAAACCGACACAGGUGGUCAGGUAGAGAAUACCAAGGCGCUUGAGAGAACUCGGGUGAAGGAACUAGGCAAAAUGGUGCCGUAACUUCGGGAGAAGGCACGCUGAUAUGUAGGUGAAGUCCCUUGCGGAUGGAGCUGAAAUCAGUCGAAGAUACCAGCUGGCUGCAACUGUUUAUUAAAAACACAGCACUGUGCAAACACGAAAGUGGACGUAUACGGUGUGACGCCUGCCCGGUGCCGGAAGGUUAAUUGAUGGGGUCAGCGCAAGCGAAGCUCUUGAUCGAAGCCCCGGUAAACGGCGGCCGUAACUAUAACGGUCCUAAGGUAGCGAAAUUCCUUGUCGGGUAAGUUCCGACCUGCACGAAUGGCGUAAUGAUGGCCAGGCUGUCUCCACCCGAGACUCAGUGAAAUUGAACUCGCUGUGAAGAUGCAGUGUACCCGCGGCAAGACGGAAAGACCCCGUGAACCUUUACUAUAGCUUGACACUGAACAUUGAGCCUUGAUGUGUAGGAUAGGUGGGAGGCUUUGAAGUGUGGACGCCAGUCUGCAUGGAGCCGGCCUUGAAAUACCACCCUUUAAUGUUUGAUGUUCUAACGUGGACCCGUGAUCCGGGUUGCGGACAGUGUCUGGUGGGUAGUUUGACUGGGGCGGUCUCCUCCUAAAGAGUAACGGAGGAGCACGAAGGUUGGCUAAUCCUGGUCGGACAUCAGGAGGUUAGUGCAAUGGCAUAAGCCAGCUUGACUGCGAGCGUGACGGCGCGAGCAGGUGCGAAAGCAGGUCAUAGUGAUCCGGUGGUUCUGAAUGGAAGGGCCAUCGCUCAACGGAUAAAAGGUACUCCGGGGAUAACAGGCUGAUACCGCCCAAGAGUUCAUAUCGACGGCGGUGUUUGGCACCUCGAUGUCGGCUCAUCACAUCCUGGGGCUGAAGUAGGUCCCAAGGGUAUGGCUGUUCGCCAUUUAAAGUGGUACGCGAGCUGGGUUUAGAACGUCGUGAGACAGUUCGGUCCCUAUCUGCCGUGGGCGCUGGAGAACUGAGGGGGGCUGCUCCUAGUACGAGAGGACCGGAGUGGACGCAUCACUGGUGUUCGGGUUGUCAUGCCAAUGGCACUGCCCGGUAGCUAAAUGCGGAAGAGAUAAGUGCUGAAAGCAUCUAAGCACGAAACUUGCCCCGAGAUGAGUUCUCCCUGACCCUUUAAGGGUCCUGAAGGAACGUUGAAGACGACGACGUUGAUAGGCCGGGUGUGUAAGCGCAGCGAUGCGUUGAGCUAACCGGUACUAAUGAACCGUGAGGCUUAACCUUACAACGCCGAAGGUGUUU